CAGCAGGAGACAGUCCUGCCGGGGUAACAGUCAGGAGCCCCGUAGCUUGGAUCGCAGGGUGGCGGGAGACCAAGACUCUGAAGCCGAUCGACAGCACCUUCCUUGGGGAGGUGGCGAGUCACCAGGCCGUAACAACA
This 137-nucleotide non-coding RNA is filed under the name Thiocapsa rosea. The record is from RNAcentral. Lineage: Bacteria; Pseudomonadati; Pseudomonadota; Gammaproteobacteria; Chromatiales; Chromatiaceae.